GACGAACGCCGGCGGCGUGCCUAAUACAUGCAAGUCGAACGCUUCUUUCCUCCCGAUUGCUUGCACUCAAUUGGAAAGAGGAGUGGCGGACGGGUGAGUAACACGUGGGUAACCUACCCAUCAGAGGGGGAUAACACUUGGAAACAGGUUCUAAUACCGCAUAACAGUUUAUGCCGCAUGGCAUAAGAGUGAAAGGCGAUUUCGGGUGUCGUUGAUGGAUGGACCCGCGGUGCAUGAGCUAGUUGGUGAGGUAACGGCUCACCAAGGCCACGAUGCAUAGCCGAACUGAGAGGGUGAUCGGCCACAUUGGGACUGAGACACGGCCCAGACUACUAAGGGAGGCAGCAGUAGGGAAUCUGCGGCAAUGGACGAAAGUCUGACCGAGCAACGCCGCGUGAGUGAAGAAGGUUUUCGGAUCGUAAAACUCUGUUGUUAGAGAAGAACAAGGACGUUAGUAACUGAACGUCCCCUGACGGUAUCUAGCCAGAAAGCCACGGCUAACUACGUG
This 508-nucleotide ribosomal RNA is filed under the name uncultured bacterium. RNAcentral's name for it is "partial 16S ribosomal RNA". It matches the Rfam family "Bacterial small subunit ribosomal RNA", at positions 28 to 507 of the family's 1533-position model. The record is from RNAcentral.